UACGUAGGGCGCAAGCGUUGUCCGGAAUUAUUGGGCGUAAAGAGCUCGUAGGCGGUCUGUUGCGUCCGCUGUGAAACUCGGGGCUUAACCCCGAGCCUGCAGUGGAUACGGGCAGACUAGAGGUAGGUAGGGGAGAAUGGAAUUUCCGGUGGAGCGGUGAAAUGCGUAGAGAUCGGAAAGAACACCAACGGCGAAAGCGACUCUGCUGGGCCGACACUGACACUGAGAGACGAAAGCUAGGGGAGCGAAUGGGAUU
This 256-nucleotide ribosomal RNA is filed under the name uncultured bacterium. RNAcentral describes it as "partial 16S ribosomal RNA". It matches the Rfam family "Bacterial small subunit ribosomal RNA", at positions 524 to 779 of the family's 1533-position model. The record is from RNAcentral.